UGAUUUAAAAUUGCAAAUUUUAAGGAAAAAAUUUUAAUUUAUUAAGGCUU
This 50-nucleotide transfer RNA is filed under the name Pidorus atratus. RNAcentral's name for it is "tRNA-Cys". The record is from RNAcentral. Lineage: Eukaryota; Metazoa; Arthropoda; Insecta; Lepidoptera; Zygaenidae.